UACCUGGUUGAUUCUCCCAGUAGCAUACGCUUGUCUCAAAGAUCAAGCCAUGCAUGUCUAAAUGCACAAGACUGGUACAGUGAAACUGUGAAUGGCUUAUUAAAUCAACUGUUGUUGACCUUUGAUCACUCCAACCAUUACUUGGAUAACUGUGGUAAUUUCAGAGUUAAUACAUGUCAUUGAGCACUGACCUCUGGGGAUGCAUGCAUUUAUCAGAUCAAAACCAACCCGGGUUCACCCAGCUGCUUUUAUAACCUCUGACCAAUGGCAUGCCAUGUGGUGGUAAAGACUUGCUCAAAUGUCUGCCCUAUCAACUUUCGAUGGUACUUUCUUUCGAUGUGCCUACCAUGGUGACUGCUGGUAAUAGGGACUCAGGGUUUGAUUCUGGAGAGGGAGCCUGAAAAAUGGCUACCACAUCCAAGGAAGGCAGCAGGCACACAAAUUACCCACUCCUGGCCUUGGAAGGAUAGUGACAAAAAAUAACAUUACAGGACUGUUUCAAGGCCUUGUAAUUGGAAUGAGUAUACUUUAAUCCUAAAGUAGGAUCGAUUGCAGGGCAAGUCUGGUGUCAGCAGCUGUGGUAAUUACAGCUCCAAAAGUGCAUAUUGCAGUUAAAAAGCUCAUAGUUGGAUCUUCGGAUGGAGCCGGCAGUCUACCGUGAGGCAAUCUAUCACCUGUCCUUGCCCCUGCCUCUCGGCACCCCCUUGCUGCUCUUAACUGAAUGUCCUUGGGGUCUACAUUGAAAAAAUUAGCGUGUUCAAACAGGCUGGUCACUAGAAUACUCCAGCUAGGAACAAUGGAAUAGCACUCUGGGUCUAUUGUGUUUGUUUUAGGAACUGGGGCCAUGAAUAAGAGGGAUGGCCAGGGGCAUUUGUACUGUGCUGCUAGAGGUGAAAUUCUUGGAUGGGGGCAAGACAAAUGAAAGCAAAAGAGUUUGCCAAGAAUGUUUUUUUAUAAUCAAGAAGGAACAUUGGAGGUUGAAAGAUGAUCAGACACUGUUGUAGUGCCUAUUGUAAAUGAUGCCAACUAAGUUAAAUCUCUUUGCCCUGCACAACGGGCUCCACAAAGUGGCUUCCACGUGAAAGAGGAUAGAGGGCAGGGGAGAAGGAGAUACAAGGAGGGUGGGAGAGAGCAUGA
RNAcentral lists this non-coding RNA (1137 nucleotides) under Alligator mississippiensis (American alligator). RNAcentral describes it as "Eukaryotic small subunit ribosomal RNA". It matches the Rfam family "Eukaryotic small subunit ribosomal RNA", at positions 1 to 1078 of the family's 1831-position model. Lineage: Eukaryota; Metazoa; Chordata; Crocodylia; Alligatoridae. The record is from Rfam by way of RNAcentral.